Jaculus jaculus (lesser Egyptian jerboa) is the source of this 107-nucleotide small nuclear RNA. The record is from Ensembl. Lineage: Eukaryota; Metazoa; Chordata; Mammalia; Rodentia; Dipodidae.
GUGCUCACUUCAGCAGCACAUAAACUAGAACUGGAACAAUACAGAGAAGAUUAGCAUGGCCCCUGCACAGUGAUGACAUGCAAAUUUGUGAAGUGUUCUAUAUAUUU